Molecule: unclassified non-coding RNA, 301 nt
Filed under: uncultured fungus
Lineage: Eukaryota; Fungi
Description: partial contains 5.8S ribosomal RNA, internal transcribed spacer 2, and large subunit ribosomal RNA
Rfam family: 5.8S ribosomal RNA (bases 1-52)
Source: RNAcentral
AACGCACAUUGCGCCCGCCAGUAUUCUGGCGGGCAUGCCUGUUAGAGCGUCAUUACAACCCUCAAGCGCCCCUGGAAACGGGAAAUCGGGCUUGGUGUUGGGGACCGGCCACGGGUGUCCUGCUGCCUCUGCAGCGGGCGCACGGCCGCCCCCGAAAUGAAUUGGCGGUCUCGUCGCGGCCUCCCUCUGCGUAGUAGCAUAAAACCUCGCAGCUGGAGCGCGGCGCGGCCACUGCCGUAAAACGCACCAAAUCUUCUUUACAGUUGACCUCGAAUCAGGUAGGAAUACCCGCUGAACUUAA